ACUGUCUCUAAAACGCAAUGAACUGAGCUCUGUCAUGGUUGAAGUAGCAAGAAACCACUCUGUAAAGUGUCCUUGUCUGACCAUGGAAACACCUGGUUGCAUCUUAAAAAGUAGUGACAGUCUUCCGGAAAGCUCCACGCAGCUGCAGACUCCUUGUGGCGACUGACGGCGUGAACAACAAACCCACACAGCUGCUUCUCCAACACCUCCACCACGGCCGGGGCGUUCCCCUUCUUCCCCUGGCCCUCCAUCGCCUGCUGGAUGCAGCCCUGAGGCACCGGCUGUGGUUUGGUGCUGUACGACACCACCAGGUUGAUGUUGUUCACCUGCAGCACCUCGAACCAGUUCUUCCCCGCCACGUGGUGGAAAUGCUCCCCUGCUCUCCAGUUCCGGUAGGUGCUUCCUGAGUGGUUGAUGAGCCGCACCGACCAGCUAACCCAAUCAUACUUCUUCACCAAGAACUCCAGAAGCUGCUGAGUUGUAUCUUGCAGAUUAUCGCCUUCCUUUUCUUGCAGGAGGUGUUUGGCAUCUAGUUUUGCUUGCUCUGGGAAAGCAGCGAUGCACGACUCGAUGGUGGUCUUCAUCCUGGACUCUACUUCUUCAAUUUUGCUGCUCCACUCUUGGAUUUUGUCAUCUUCUUCAUCUUGGCGCUGGGUUAAGGCACAGUGGCCCAGCAGAGCAAUCAGGCCCAGACAGAAGAGCUCCUUCAUCCGGACACAGAAAUCUUCCAGGAGACGACGGUUCCUCGCUACAUACCUGGAAAACAAAAGAACUAUGUAUGUCAUAUAGUGCUCCAACCAGAGAAACCUGCAGUGUUGUUGACAAAGACAUAGGAGAACCAAAGAACUGCAAUUAAUGAAAAACAGGAUCAAAUAUAACAACGUACCUUUCCACUAACUCUAAAACGGACUCUCCAAAGCUGUUUGUCCCCAUCAGAGCAUCAUACAGCACAAACAGGUUCUUCUCUCCUCCGGUUUUGGCAAAGUGCUCCACAAACAGUCUGGUCUUCACCUCCCUGAACUGCGGUUUUGCCUCCAAGAUGUCCAUAUACUUCCGAAACUGGUUCCUAAUGUUCUCCUCCACAGAGAAGUACUGGGAAUCCAGUCUCCCCUUCUUGAUCUCGCAGUCGAUGUCUUCCAGUUGUGUGGAGAGCACGUCAAGCUUGUUCCUCACCGCCAGGAACUGCUCCUUGACGUAGAAGACCUCUUUGCUGAGGACAUUGUCUAAGGCCAGGCGGAGGACGGGAGCGGCGGCCUCACAGAGCGGGAAGAGCUCGCCCACAGCGCUGGCCAACACCUCGGACCCCUUCUCAAACAUGUCCAUCACCGCCUCGAUGGCCUCCUUUUUCUGGGCUACAGCCCUCUCAAGUGGACUGCUCAUGGUCUGAGACACAGAAGGAACAACAUCUGGUGUCAAACAUAGAAGAAGGAUGUGAUAACAUUUGAGUCUUGUUCUGUUUAUUCAUGAAUAAAAGACAGUUUUUUUUGCGAGCA
Molecule: long non-coding RNA, 1493 nt
Organism: Notothenia coriiceps (black rockcod)
Lineage: Eukaryota; Metazoa; Chordata; Actinopteri; Perciformes; Nototheniidae
Exons: 2
Source: RefSeq, a predicted model, not a curated record